Molecule: ribosomal RNA, 330 nt
Filed under: uncultured bacterium
Lineage: Bacteria
Description: bacterial SSU rRNA
Rfam family: Bacterial small subunit ribosomal RNA
Source: RNAcentral
CGCGUAGGCGAUGUUUAAGUCAGAGGUGAAAGCCCAGGGCUCAACCUUGGAACUGCCUUUGAUACUGGACAUCUUGAGUACGGGAGAGGUGAGUGGAACUCCGAGUGUAGAGGUGAAAUUCGUAGAUAUUCGGAAGAACACCAGUGGCGAAGGCGACUCACUGGCCCGUUACUGACGCUGAGGCGCGAAAGCGUGGGGGAGCAAACAGGAUUAGAUACCCUGGUAGUCCACGCUGUAAACGAUGAGUGCUAGUUGUCGGCAUGCAUGCAUGUCGGUGACGCAGCUAACGCAUUAAGCACUCCGCCUGGGGAGUACGGUCGCAAGAUUAAA